This 28-nucleotide small RNA is filed under the name Bombyx mori (domestic silkworm). RNAcentral's name for it is "ovarian small RNA-35794". The record is from RNAcentral. Lineage: Eukaryota; Metazoa; Arthropoda; Insecta; Lepidoptera; Bombycidae.
UGUCUAUUGGCUGGAUGACGGCGGUGCU